This 264-nucleotide ribosomal RNA is filed under the name uncultured archaeon. RNAcentral describes it as "partial 16S ribosomal RNA". It matches the Rfam family "Archaeal small subunit ribosomal RNA", at positions 717 to 982 of the family's 1478-position model. The record is from RNAcentral.
ACGUCUACAUUAGAUACCCCCGGUAGUCCCAGCCGUAAACUAUGCUCGCUAGGUGUCAGGCAUGGCGCGACCGUGUCUGGUGCCGCAGGGAAGCCGUGAAGCGAGCCACCUGGGAAGUACGGCCGCAAGGCUGAAACUUAAAGGAAUUGGCGGGGGAGCACAACAACGGGUGGAGCCUGCGGUUUAAUUGGACUCAACGCCGGACAACUCACCGGGAACGACAGCAAUAUGUAGGCCAGGCUGAAGACCUUGCCUGAAUCGCUG